Molecule: long non-coding RNA, 352 nt
Filed under: Vigna radiata
Lineage: Eukaryota; Viridiplantae; Streptophyta; Magnoliopsida; Fabales; Fabaceae
Description: long non-coding RNA (VRAD_LNC009337)
Source: RNAcentral
UUGAGAGGAGUGAUGAAGGUGAGUAAGGGUUUGGGGGCUUCUUUUUUUUUUUUUUAAUUUUAAGAAUUGAAAUUUUUUCAAAUACUCUUGACUUUAAAACUUAAAAUCCAUAAUAUAUGAGGAUAUUUUUGUCUACUAUAACUCGUACACAUUACUAAAAUGUACCAACUGAAAAACAGACAUACGAUAUAUAUAUAUAUAUAUAAUAUGAUUUUGAUAAAGUACUUUUGAAGUAGAACAUAAAAUUCAUAAUAGCUAAGUUGUUGUUUCAUCGUGAAAGAGCUUUAUGUUUCAAAAAAAAAAAAAAACUAACAUACAAAAAACAUUUUGAUGUUUAAGUCACUAAGAAAAC